GAUGAACGCUGGCGGCGUGCCUAAUACAUGCAAGUAGAACGCUGAAGGAGGAGCUUGCUCUUCUGGAUGAGUUGCGAACGGGUGAGUAACGCGUAGGUAACCUGCCUGGUAGCGGGGGAUAACUAUUGGAAACGAUAGCUAAUACCGCAUGACAACAGUUAUUGCAUGAUAACUGUUUAAAAGGGGCAACUGCUCCACUACCAGAUGGACCUGCGUUGUAUUAGCUAGUUGGUGAGGUAACGGCUCACCAAGGCGACGAUACAUAGCCGACCUGAGAGGGUGAUCGGCCACACUGGGACUGAGACACGGCCCAGACUCCUACGGGAGGCAGCAGUAGGGAAUCUUCGGCAAUGGACGGAAGUCUGACCGAGCAACGCCGCGUGAGUGAAGAAGGUUUUCGGAUCGUAAAGCUCUGUUGUAAGAGAAGAACGAGUGUGAGAGUGGAAAGUUCACACUGUGACGGUAUCUUACCAGAAAGGGACGGCGAACUACGU
This 494-nucleotide ribosomal RNA is filed under the name uncultured bacterium. RNAcentral describes it as "partial 16S ribosomal RNA". It matches the Rfam family "Bacterial small subunit ribosomal RNA", at positions 28 to 506 of the family's 1533-position model. The record is from RNAcentral.